UUACGGCCACAUCCUGCUGAAACGCAGAUUUCCGUACGAUCAUCGAAGUUAAGGAACGUCGAUCCUGGUCAGUACCUACAUGGGUGACCGCUUGGGAAUAUCAGGUGCUGUAA
Molecule: non-coding RNA, 113 nt
Organism: Acanthosepion pharaonis
Lineage: Eukaryota; Metazoa; Mollusca; Cephalopoda; Sepiida; Sepiidae
Source: the annotation of a GenBank genome assembly